UGGGGAAUAUUGGACAAUGGGCGCAAGCCUGAUCCAGCAAUGCCGCGUGAGUGAUGAAGGCCUUAGGGUUGUAAAGCUCUUUCGCACGCGACGAUGAUGACGGUAGCGUGAGAAGAAGCCCCGGCUAACUUCGUGCCAGCAGCCGCGGUAAUACGAAGGGGGCUAGCGUUGUUCGGAAUUACUGGGCGUAAAGGGCGCGUAGGCGGCUCUUCAAGUUAGGCGUGAAAGCCCCGGGCUCAACCUGGGAAUUGCGCUUGAUACUGUUGGGCUUGAGUUCGGGAGAGGAGAGUGGAAUUCCCAGUGUAGAGGUGAAAUUCGUAGAUAUUGGGAAGAACACCAGUGGCGAAGGCGGCUCUCUGGACCGAUACUGACGCUGAGGCGCGAAAGCGUGGGGAGCAAACAGGAUUAGAUACCCCGGUAGUCC
Molecule: ribosomal RNA, 424 nt
Filed under: uncultured bacterium
Lineage: Bacteria
Description: bacterial SSU rRNA
Rfam family: Bacterial small subunit ribosomal RNA
Source: RNAcentral